GGGACACCCCUCUGGGGCAAGACUUGCUUCAAUGGGGCUUUGGUGCUCACUGAGUCUGCCCGCUGAGUGCGUCCUU
Molecule: non-coding RNA, 76 nt
Organism: Myotis lucifugus (little brown bat)
Lineage: Eukaryota; Metazoa; Chordata; Mammalia; Chiroptera; Vespertilionidae
Source: Rfam